CAUGCCCCCCUCCGAGGGUAGC
Molecule: microRNA, 22 nt
Filed under: Marek's disease virus serotype 2 MDV2
Lineage: Duplodnaviria; Heunggongvirae; Peploviricota; Herviviricetes; Herpesvirales; Orthoherpesviridae
Description: mdv2-miR-M19-3p
Gene: mdv2-miR-M19-3p
Source: miRBase by way of RNAcentral